This 253-nucleotide ribosomal RNA is filed under the name Planctomycetia bacterium. RNAcentral's name for it is "partial 16S ribosomal RNA". It matches the Rfam family "Bacterial small subunit ribosomal RNA", at positions 524 to 776 of the family's 1533-position model. Lineage: Bacteria; Pseudomonadati; Planctomycetota; Planctomycetia. The record is from RNAcentral.
UACGUAGGGGGCGAGCGUUGUCCGGAUUUAUUGGGCGUAAAGGGCGUGUAGGCGGCCUGCUAAGUCGGAGGUGAAACCCCAGAGCUCAACUCUGGGCCUGCCUCCGAAACUGAUGGGCUUGAGUAUCCUAGAGGGUAGUGGAAUUCCCGGUGUAGCAGUGAAAUGCGUAGAGAUCGGGAGGAACACCAGUGGCGAAGGCGACUGCCUGGGGGAAAACUGACGCUGAGGCGCGAAAGCUGGGGGAGCGAACAGG